Molecule: ribosomal RNA, 253 nt
Filed under: uncultured bacterium
Lineage: Bacteria
Description: partial 16S ribosomal RNA
Rfam family: Bacterial small subunit ribosomal RNA
Source: RNAcentral
UACGUAGGGACCAAGCGUUGUCCGGAAUCAUUGGGCGUAAAGCGCGUGUAGGCGGCCCGGUAAGUCCGCUGUGAAAGUCGGGGGCUCAACCCUCGGAUGCCGGUGGAUACUGUCGGGCUCGAGUACGGAAGAGGCGAGUGGAAUUCCUGGUGUAGCGGUGAAAUGCGCAGAUAUCAGGAGGAACACCGAUUGCGAAGGCAGCUCGCUGGGACGUUACUGACGCUGAGACGCGAAAGCGUGGGGAGCAAACAGG